AUAAUACUCCAUAGAUUAGAGACACUGGAAUGUUCUUUAGUCGAAAGUUCUGGCGCCUUAGGAUGGAUCUGCGGUCGAUUAGGUUGUUGUUGGGGUAACGGCCCAACAAGCCUGUAAUCGAUACGGGUUGUGGGAGCAAGAGCCCGGAGAUGGAAUCUGAGACACGAUUCCAGGCCCUACGGGGCGCAGCAGGCGCGAAAACUUUACAAUGCAGGAAACUGUGAUAAGGGAACUCCGAGUGCCCGUAUACGCGGGCUGUCCAGGUGUUUAAAAAUCAUCUGAAGAAAGGGCCGGGCAAGACCGGUGCCAGCCGCCGCGGUAAUACCGGCGGCUCGAGUGGUGGCCACUAUUAUUGGGCUUAAAGCGUCCGUAGCUGGACCGAUAAGUCUCUUGGGAAAUCCGCCGGCUCAACCGGCGGGCGUCUAAGGGAUACUGUUAGUCUAGGGACCGGGAGAGGUGAGAGGUACUCCGGGGGUAGGAGUGAAAUCCUGUAAUCCCCGGGGGACCACCGAUGGCGAAGGCAUCUCACCAGAACGGCUCCGACAGUGAGGGAUGAAAGCUGGGGGAGCGAACCGGAUUAAAUACCCGGGUAGUCCCAGCCGUAAACUAUGCGCGUUAGGUGU
This 623-nucleotide ribosomal RNA is filed under the name uncultured archaeon. Its description in RNAcentral is "bacterial SSU rRNA". It matches the Rfam family "Archaeal small subunit ribosomal RNA", at positions 146 to 774 of the family's 1478-position model. The record is from RNAcentral.